UACGUAGGGUCCGAGCGUUGUCCGGAAUUACUGGGCGUAAAGAGCUCGUAGGUGGUUUGUCGCGUUGUUCGUGAAAACUCACAGCUCAACUGUGGGCGUGCGGGCGAUACGGGCAGACUGGAGUACUGCAGGGGAGACUGGAAUUCCUGGUGUAGCGGUGGAAUGCGCAGAUAUCAGGAGGAACACCGGUGGCGAAGGCGGGUCUCUGGGCCGGUACUGACGCUGAGGCACGAAGGCGUGGGGAGCGAACGGG
This 253-nucleotide ribosomal RNA is filed under the name uncultured bacterium. RNAcentral's name for it is "partial 16S ribosomal RNA". It matches the Rfam family "Bacterial small subunit ribosomal RNA", at positions 524 to 776 of the family's 1533-position model. The record is from RNAcentral.